GUGAGGAAUAUUGGUCAAUGGACGGAAGUCUGAACCAGCCAUGCCGCGUGCAGGAAUAAGGUCCUAUGGAUUGUAAACUGCUUUUAUUCGGGAAUAAACCUCUUUACGUGUAGGGAGCUGAAGGUACCGAAGGAAUAAGCACCGGCUAACUCCGUGCCAGCAGCCGCGGUAAUACGGAGGGUGCAAGCGUUAUCCGGAAUCAUUGGGUUUAAAGGGUCCGCAGGCGGGCUAUCAAGUCAGAGGUGAAAUCCCACAGCUUAACUGUGGAACUGCCUUUGAAACUGAUGGUCUUGAAUUAAGUGGGCGUUGGCGGAAUAUGACAUGUAGCGGUGAAAUGCUUAGAUAUGCUACGGAACACCGAUUGCGAAGGCAGCUUACUAUUUCGUAAUUGACGCUGAGGCACGAAAGCGUGGGUAGCGAACAGGAUUAGAUACCCGUGUAGUCC
RNAcentral lists this ribosomal RNA (445 nucleotides) under uncultured bacterium. RNAcentral describes it as "partial 16S ribosomal RNA". It matches the Rfam family "Bacterial small subunit ribosomal RNA", at positions 354 to 796 of the family's 1533-position model. The record is from RNAcentral.